ACGUUGUUCGCGCGAGACGUGUG
RNAcentral lists this ribosomal RNA (23 nucleotides) under Spodoptera litura. Its description in RNAcentral is "partial 18S ribosomal RNA". The record is from RNAcentral. Lineage: Eukaryota; Metazoa; Arthropoda; Insecta; Lepidoptera; Noctuidae.